This is a long non-coding RNA of Dicentrarchus labrax (European seabass), 350 nucleotides long. RefSeq lists it as uncharacterized. The record is from RefSeq and is a predicted model, not a curated record. The transcript has 2 exons. Lineage: Eukaryota; Metazoa; Chordata; Actinopteri; Moronidae.
CUGUGUCCAACUCUUCCUCACAGGUUAGUUAAUGACAGACAGUCAGUGAGUGUGUCUGUGUCCAACUCUUCCUCACAGGUUAGUUAAUGACAGACAGUCAGUGAGUGUGUCUGUGUCCAACUCUUCCUCACAGGUUAGUUAAUGACAGACAGUCAGUGAGUGUGUCUGUGUCCAACUCUUCCUCACAGGUUAGUUAAUGACAGACAGUCAGUGAGUGUGUCUGUGUCCAACUCUUCCUCACAGGUUAGUUAAUGAUGUUACUGAGUCAAUGUGAGCAGAUUGUGUCUGUAGACUGAAGAGAAUCAGAGUCUCACUGAUGGUGGAAAUAAAGGUUUUACUUCCUUAAAACA